CCCAGCGACGUCAAUUUGUCUAAUUAACUUCGUUACUAACUGGCCGGAUAGCCCUGGUUGCUGGGCCAACGAAUGGAAAAAGAAGACGAAGAAUAAAAGAUGGUAUACUCAAAUUCCAAUUAAUUCAAUGAUAAAAACUAAGUUUCAGAGAAUAUAUCAACACAGUAACAAAGAUUAAGGAAAAUUUAUUCCGCUGGAACAAGUCCCAUCGAAGAAUUUCCAUCCCUACUCUUGAAAAUUAUUGAAACUGGGACAGAAGGGCAUCACGAUGAGAAUUCAUGACAUUGAGGCAAACGUGACAAGAAUGUUUGCGACAAUCGAAUGACAAAGACAUAGAGAGACUAUCUUCAAGGCUGGGAAAAGGUAAGCAGGAACAUCGCUCGGGGCAAUAUUCAAAUACCUUUUCGGAUGGGAUAAAGUGACAUAUCUGCAUGAAUAAUGAGACGCGCUUAUAGCCAGGAGGGAGAUAAAGUACUUUUGACGUCGAAUGUCCGAAUGUAUCGCAAACGGUAUGGUGGAACAAAUCGAUGAUAUUUGCCAAGAGAUAUCCGUCCCAGUCCACGAACAGUUGGGACAACGAAGGAAUACCCAUGAGUCUGCAAUUUGUGAAUCUGAUAUAUAGGUCGACAAUUUCAAGGACCACUUUAUUGAAUUCUACCUAA
Long non-coding RNA from Leptinotarsa decemlineata (Colorado potato beetle), 662 nucleotides. RefSeq lists it as uncharacterized. NCBI's taxonomy places the organism in Eukaryota, Metazoa, Arthropoda, Insecta, Coleoptera, Chrysomelidae. The record is from RefSeq and is a predicted model, not a curated record.